Molecule: non-coding RNA, 588 nt
Organism: Camellia sinensis
Lineage: Eukaryota; Viridiplantae; Streptophyta; Magnoliopsida; Ericales; Theaceae
Source: RefSeq, a predicted model, not a curated record
UGUGAUUAGGCAGGAGAAGAUGCUGAGUACUCAGCAUUAGCCAAAGUUGAAUUGAAGCAGGUGUUUUCUGGAAAAAUGAUAAAGGAGGUCAAGGAAGUGAGCUUGUCAACAAACCAAGACAAGUCACAGAUGAAGAAGAUGACUUGGAAAGUUGAGGGGGAUAAUGGAGGGGCACCCCGAGCUAUUAGAGGCGGCCCCGUCAAUAUUUCAGAUCUUGUUGUUGAGCUUGGUCCUAUGGAGAUUCGGACUUUCCUGUUGACAUUUUAACAGAUCUUCUGUCCCCGGUUAUACAUCAUCGUGAAUUCUUCAUACGAAGUCUUGACGAGGAAAGCCUAUUUUCCAUUUAUUUUGCCACCACUUUCCUGGAGAGACUUCUGCGCCCUAAUAAAGAUUUUGAGUGAUGGGUUUGUUUGGCUGAGUGUCACAACAUGAUGCACUGUUGUAAAAACGAGACACGAAAAUAAGUUGUAGCAUCAUCCAAAGAACAGGAAGAAGAAUUAUAUUUUCUGAUUAAAACAAAGACUGUGUUGGAAAAAAUGAUUUUUGGGAAUUUUAAUUUAAUAUUAAAGUGUGGUGAUUUUAAUUAAA